Molecule: non-coding RNA, 30 nt
Filed under: Oryctolagus cuniculus (rabbit)
Lineage: Eukaryota; Metazoa; Chordata; Mammalia; Lagomorpha; Leporidae
Also listed under: 2 other names
Source: RNAcentral
AGGGGUGAACCGGCCCAGGUCGGAAACGGA